Molecule: ribosomal RNA, 309 nt
Filed under: uncultured bacterium
Lineage: Bacteria
Description: bacterial SSU rRNA
Rfam family: Bacterial small subunit ribosomal RNA
Source: RNAcentral
AGCGAACGUUUGCGGCGGGCUUAACACAGUGCAAGUCGAACGAGAAUCCCUUCGGGGGAGGAAAGUGGCGCACGGGUGCGUAACACGUGGAUAACCUACCCAUUGGUUGGGGACAACACCGGGAAACUGGUGCUAAUACCCGAUGUGUCGUAGUGGUCGCAAGGCUGCUACGAGAAAGGCCCGCAAGGGUCGCCAGCGGACGGGUCCGCGUCCCAUCAGCUAGUUGGUGAGGUAAUGGCUCACCAAGGCGAAGACGGUAGCUGGUCUGAGAGGAUGAUCAGCCACACUGGAACUGAGACACGGUCCAGG